This 253-nucleotide ribosomal RNA is filed under the name Segatella copri DSM 18205. RNAcentral's name for it is "Prevotella copri DSM 18205 partial 16S ribosomal RNA". It matches the Rfam family "Bacterial small subunit ribosomal RNA", at positions 524 to 776 of the family's 1533-position model. RNAcentral also lists the same sequence under 1 other name. Lineage: Bacteria; Pseudomonadati; Bacteroidota; Bacteroidia; Bacteroidales; Prevotellaceae. The record is from RNAcentral.
UACGGAAGGUCCGGGCGUUAUCCGGAUUUAUUGGGUUUAAAGGGAGCGUAGGCCGGAGAUUAAGCGUGUUGUGAAAUGUAGAUGCUCAACGUCUGCACUGCAGCGCGAACUGGUUUCCUUGAGUACGCACAAAGUGGGCGGAAUUCGUGGUGUAGCGGUGAAAUGCUUAGAUAUCACGAAGAACUCCGAUUGCGAAGGCAGCUCACUGGAGCGCAACUGACGCUGAAGCUCGAAAGUGCGGGUAUCGAACAGG